RNAcentral lists this unclassified non-coding RNA (213 nucleotides) under uncultured Hericium. RNAcentral describes it as "sequence contains ITS2". Lineage: Eukaryota; Fungi; Basidiomycota; Agaricomycetes; Russulales; Hericiaceae. The record is from RNAcentral.
AAUUCUCAACUCAAUCUUUUUGUUUUACGAAAAGGUUGAGCUUGGACUUGGAGGCUUGCCGGCUCUGUGAAGACUCGGCUCCUCUUGAAUGCAUGAGUGGGAACCUUUGUAGGGUGACCUUUGGUGUGAUAAUUGUCUACGCCGUUGGCCUGCCUUGCGAAAUUUAUAGGUACCUGCUUCCAACUGUCUUCUCGGAGACAAUUUCUAUGAAAC